CACGGCUACAGGAUCAGAACACAGAGGCUUGGCUGCAGGGUUUACGGCCUACCUCUAAUGACCUCUAUCCACAAGCUAGGCCCUGUCUCCCACAGUUCCACAGCCAUCUCUGACAGCACCGCUCCAGAUCAAACAGCCAACCUGUGUGAGAGCCAGAAUUCAAACCAGACAGAUGAGAGCAAACACGCCAAGGCCAGAAAAACAAAGUUCUUAAUGAUGUAUCACGAUUGCAACCCAAUGACGAAGCUUGUUAUCCUUUCCUGUCUAUGGAGAUCUUAGCUGCACUUAAGAGCUUCCAACGAGAAGGUCACCGAAAGGUGUGCUGUCACGUCACUGUCUGAAAUUUGUACCUAAGUCCUGGAGACCGAUCCACACCUGACCUGGAGCAAUACGGUCCACUUAGUACACCUUGUUGUGAGAAAUGCCUUCUCUGUGUGCUGUGAGGUGAAAGAAAGCUGGAAAGCUGGAUUCCACACAUCAGAGGGACCCAUCUUCCCUUUUAGUAGUACCACAUCAUCUGAAAAGAGAAAGGGGUCUGUUCGACUUCGCACGGCGGGGCCGGCGCAGUGGCCAUCAUGCCUACAGACUACACUCUGCCCCUGCCACCAGUGGAAGAGCCAUCAGGAUCGGUGACCCCAGGAGAGGCCCCUAAUGAAACAGGAAAGCAAUGCUGUCUGCGAUUUUUCAACCAUCAGACUCGUGGGAUUAAAAAAAAGGGGAAAAAUAUGUCAUUUGCAAAUGCAAAGAACUUUCCUAUGAUCGCAGUCAGCAUGGAUGUGAACGGCGCAUUUAACUUCACAGGAGCCCGAUGCUGCGCUCAGGGGCUCUGGAUUCUCUUCACUCUCCCACCGUUAGCAACUGAGAGGCCAUCUUUAUGA
This 878-nucleotide long non-coding RNA is filed under the name Mus spicilegus (steppe mouse). RNAcentral's name for it is "lncRNA (ENSMSIG00000008675.1)". Lineage: Eukaryota; Metazoa; Chordata; Mammalia; Rodentia; Muridae. The record is from RNAcentral.